Bicyclus anynana (squinting bush brown) is the source of this 626-nucleotide long non-coding RNA. RefSeq lists it as uncharacterized. Lineage: Eukaryota; Metazoa; Arthropoda; Insecta; Lepidoptera; Nymphalidae. The record is from RefSeq and is a predicted model, not a curated record. The transcript has 2 exons.
ACGCCCAAAAAAGUUCACAUUGUUUCAAAAAAGUAUGAACUCGGAGCCUGUACGGCCAGUUUAUGAAAAAGAAUUGCCACAUGUGACUUCAUGUCGUUCUGUGUUUGACAUUGACAAUUUGACAAUGGAUUUGACUUUGACGAUUUGACGUUUGUGAUUUUAUUUUCUGUUCGAUUUCUCUUCUGAUCAAUUUCUAUUCUUCGAUUUUAAUUUAAUUUUAUUGUAAAUUUGUAAACUAGCUGUAAAUAUCACAUUUUAAAAUAAAUUAAUAACAUAAUAGAUUUAGCUUGAUCUACAGGUGACAAUAAUGGUAGCUACAAUUACCAGAAACAAAUAACUGUAAAGAAACAAAUUGUACAUAGUCAUUCAAUUUUGUUGAUUAUUAUAAUUUUAAACCCCAUUAAAUUGGACCAAAUUCAAAUUCCAAAUGAUGGCUGGGUCGGCGUUAAGAAGACUGAUGGCCGAAUAUAAACUGCAGUAGUGGGUCAAUCUCAGGUGGGUCAGGGUGCAACUGGACACAAACUGCAAGGGAUCGAGAAUUAUGGAAAAGCUUGGAAACCUUUGUCCUAGGGGACAAUCUGACGAACUCUGAAGAAAGGCUAUAUUAUUAUAAUUAUUAUUUUGAC